GCGUGGCUAUCAUGCAAGUCGAGCGGACAGAAGGGAGCUUGCUCCCGGAUGUUAGCGGCGGACGGGUGAGUAACACGUGGGUAACCUGCCUGUAAGACUGGGAUAACUCCGGGAAACCGGAGCUAAUACCGGAUAGUUCCUUGAACCGCAUGGUUCAAGGAUGAAAGACGGUUUCGGCUGUCACUUACAGAUGGACCCGCGGCGCAUUAGCUAGUUGGUGAGGUAACGGCUCACCAAGGCGACGAUGCGUAGCCGACCUGAGAGGGUGAUCGGCCACACUGGGACUGAGACACGGCCCAGACUCCUACGGGAGGCAGCAGUAGGGAAUCUUCCGCAAUGGACGAAAGUCUGACGGAGCAACGCCGCGUGAGUGAUGAAGGUUUUCGGAUCGUAAAGCUCUGUUGUUAGGGAAGAACAAGUGCAAGAGUAACUGCUUGCACCUUGACGGUACCUAACCAGAAAGCCACGGCUAACUACGUGCCAGCAGCCGCGGUAAUACGUAGGUGGCAAGCGUUGUCCGGAAUUAUUGGGCGUAAAGGGCUCGCAGGCGGUUUUUUUAAGUCUGAUGUGAAAGCCCCCGGCUCAAUCGGGGAGGGUCAUUGGAAACUGGGUAAACUUUAGGGCAGUAAAAGAAGAAGAGAGAAUGCCAUCGUUGUAACGGGCUAAAUGCGCUAUUCUCUUGGAGGGAACCCUCGUUGACCGAGGGCUAAUCCAUAGUUCCUGUUACCUUUCCCUCUUUAUUCGUGUAUGGUCGGGAAUAGGUUACAGUACGUUGUUAUAUUUGUGUUUUCCUCUCUGCGCACAAUAUCGAAUCGACUCUGAUACAUAGAUACAAUAUAUACAGUAGUGUACGUGUGUCUCGCGCCCGUAUCUCUUC
RNAcentral lists this ribosomal RNA (877 nucleotides) under Bacillus sp. PAH-47. RNAcentral's name for it is "bacterial SSU rRNA". It matches the Rfam family "Bacterial small subunit ribosomal RNA", at positions 42 to 729 of the family's 1533-position model. Lineage: Bacteria; Bacillati; Bacillota; Bacilli; Caryophanales; Bacillaceae. The record is from RNAcentral.